Raphanus sativus (radish) is the source of this 743-nucleotide long non-coding RNA. RefSeq lists it as uncharacterized. The transcript is spliced from 2 exons. Lineage: Eukaryota; Viridiplantae; Streptophyta; Magnoliopsida; Brassicales; Brassicaceae. The record is from RefSeq and is a predicted model, not a curated record.
ACUAAAUAAACAUGAUGACACAAACAGAUUAAAACAAACAUGGCGUGACAUAAUGUAGAUGUCCCUUUAGUACUGACUUCGUUUUUGCAUGGAAGCAUGAAUGUGUACCGUACCGUGCACGUAGACUUCUUCAUAAAACCCCGCCCUUCUCUUUCCACCAACAAACCCCAGCCAAAAAUUCUCAGCCAUUGAGAGUUUAAGAUUUCAUCCAAAAAAUGUUUUUUCAGAUUAUUCAGGAGGUUUUCACAGGCGUUGCGGCAUUAGCUCUAUUGGCAUUCGCUGGUAUAACCCUUGGUAGCUCAGCCGUGGCAUUAGCCGUAAGCACGCCGUUUUUUGUCCUAUUCAGUCCGAUUCUCGUGCCAGCAACUAUAGCCACCACUUUGUUAACUACGGGCUUGUCGGCCACCGGCGGCCUCGGUUUAACGGCUAUCCGCAUCAUCUGGAAGCUCUACAAGCGUAUUAAGGCGAAGGGAGGGUCAAAAAUUCCGGGAUUGGCCCCGGGGGCUCCAGACUCUAAGCCAGCGUCUGGGGGGUAAACGAAGUAGGCCUUUCGUAGUAUGAGAUGAUCUAAGGGGGAAUUAAAUGAGAAUUAUUGGGGUUCCUUAAAUAAAGCCUAAAAUUAUCCAUUCUCUUUAAUAUAAUACUAAUUACACGCGGAUGAACCUAAUGUUUCAAAUACCAUUCUUCAUAUGUAUAUCGUGUUACGAAAUUAUAAUAAAUGUACUCGAUUGUGUUGUAACGAA